AGAGCGAACGCUGGCGGCAGGCUUAACACAUGCAAGUCGAACGGGCGUAGCAAUACGUCAGUGGCAGACGGGUGAGUAACGCGUGGGAACGUACCUUUUGGUUCGGAACAACACAGGGAAACUUGUGCUAAUACCGGAUAAGCCCUUACGGGGAAAGAUUUAUCGCCGAAAGAUCGGCCCGCGUCUGAUUAGCUAGUUGGUGUGGUAACGGCGCACCAAGGCGACGAUCAGUAGCUGGUCUGAGAGGAUGAUCAGCCACAUUGGGACUGAGACACGGCCCAAACUCCUACGGGAGGCAGCAGUGGGGAAUAUUGGACAAUGGGCGAAAGCCUGAUCCAGCCAUGCCGCGUGAGUGAUGAAGGCCCUAGGGUUGUAAAGCUCUUUUGUGCGGGAAGAUAAUGACGGUACCGCAAGAAUAAGCCCGGCUAACUCGUGCCAGCAGCCGC
Molecule: ribosomal RNA, 446 nt
Filed under: uncultured bacterium
Lineage: Bacteria
Description: SSU rRNA
Rfam family: Bacterial small subunit ribosomal RNA
Source: RNAcentral